CAGUCACAUGACCAUCACUGGCCUAUCAGGCACUGAGCCACAAGUGACCUCGCAACCACAAACAGCAGCCAUGCACCUAGCACUGGCCUAUCAGGCACUGAGCCACAAGUGACCUCACAACCAGAAACAGCAGUCAUGGGCCUAGCACUGACCUAUCAGGCACUAAGCCACCACUGACCUCACAACCACAAACAGCAGCCAUGCGCCUAGCACUGGCCUAUCAGGCACUGAGACACAAGUGACCUCACAAUCACAAAUAUCAGCCAUGGGCCUAGCACUGGCCUAUCAGGCACUGAGCCACCACCGACCUCACAAUCACAAACAGCAGCCAUGGGCCUAGCACUGGCCUAUCAGGCACUCAGCAACCAACGACCUCACAACCACAAACAGCACCCAUGGGCCCUAUACUGGCCUAUCAGGCACUGAGCCACCCCUGACCUCAAAACCACAAACAGCAGCCAUGGGCCUAGCACUGGCCUACCAGACACUGACCCAGAAGUGACCUCACAACCACAAAUUGCAGGCAUGCAGCUAGCACUGGCCUGUCAGGCACUGAGCCACAAGUGACCUCACAACCACAAACAGCAGCCAUGGGCCUAGCACUGGCCUAUCAGGCAC
This 618-nucleotide long non-coding RNA is filed under the name Apteryx haastii (Great spotted kiwi). RNAcentral's name for it is "lncRNA (ENSAHAG00000013196.1)". The record is from RNAcentral. Lineage: Eukaryota; Metazoa; Chordata; Aves; Apterygiformes; Apterygidae.